Molecule: ribosomal RNA, 253 nt
Filed under: uncultured bacterium
Lineage: Bacteria
Description: partial 16S ribosomal RNA
Rfam family: Bacterial small subunit ribosomal RNA
Source: RNAcentral
UACGUAGGCAGCAAGCGUUGUUCGGAAUUAUUGGGCGUAAAGCGCGCGCAGGCGGUUGUCUAAGUCUGCUGUGAAAUCUCCCGGCUCAACUGGGAGGGGGCGGCGGAGACUGGGCGACUGGAGGGACCUAGAGGCCGGUGGAAUUCCCGGUGUAGUGGUGAAAUGCGUAGAGAUCAGGAGGAACACCGGUGGCGAAGGCGGGUCUCUGGGCCGUUACUGACGCUGAGGAGCGAAAGCGUGGGGAGCGAACAGG